GCAGAAACCAGCUCCCAGACUGAAGUGCUAAGGAGGCUCUCAUGGAAGGGAAGGCAUGAGGACUGUAUUUCAGAAGAUGGAGGUGUAACUCACAAAUGGUUUCUCACGAGCACAUAAUCACAUCAACGACAGAACAGUUUGCUUCCAGGG
RNAcentral lists this long non-coding RNA (150 nucleotides) under Capra hircus (goat). RNAcentral describes it as "lncRNA (ENSCHIG00000002247.1)". Lineage: Eukaryota; Metazoa; Chordata; Mammalia; Artiodactyla; Bovidae. The record is from RNAcentral.